RNAcentral lists this ribosomal RNA (374 nucleotides) under uncultured organism. RNAcentral's name for it is "bacterial SSU rRNA". It matches the Rfam family "Bacterial small subunit ribosomal RNA", at positions 526 to 896 of the family's 1533-position model. The record is from RNAcentral.
CGUAGGGGGCAAGCGUUGUCCGGAUUUAUUGGGCGUAAAGAGCUCGUAGGCGGUUCGGUAAGUCGGCUGUGAAAUCUCCACGCUCAACGUGGAGGGGUCAGUCGAAACUGCCGUGACUCGAGUCCGGUAGAGGAGUGUGGAAUUCCCGGUGUAGCGGUGAAAUGCGCAGAGAUCGGGAGGAACACCCGUAGCGAAGGCGGCACUCUGGGCCGGUACUGACGCUGAGGAGCGAAAGCGUGGGGAGCAAACAGGAUUAGAUACCCUGGUAGUCCACGCCGUAAACGUUGGGCACUAGGUGUGGGACUCUAUCGACGGGUUCCGUGCCGUAGCUAACGCAUUAAGUGCCCCGCCUGGGGAGUACGGCCGCAAGGCUA